RNAcentral lists this ribosomal RNA (253 nucleotides) under uncultured bacterium. RNAcentral describes it as "partial 16S ribosomal RNA". It matches the Rfam family "Bacterial small subunit ribosomal RNA", at positions 524 to 776 of the family's 1533-position model. The record is from RNAcentral.
GACAGAGGAUGCAAGCGUUAUCCGGAAUGAUUGGGCGUAAAGCGUCUGUAGGUGGUUUGACAAGUCUUUUGUCAAAGAUCAGGGCUUAACCCUGGGCCGGCAAGAGAAACUAUCAGACUAGAGUUCGGUAGGGGAGACUGGAAUUCCUGGUGUAGCGGUGAAAUGCGCAGAUAUCAGGAGGAACACCGGUGGCGAAGGCGGGUCUCUGGGCCGAUACUGACGCUGAGGAGCGAAAGCGUGGGGAGCGAACAGG